AAGAAUCUGGAAAGGAUUAUUGGUUAGUUCAAGGGGUUGACGCACUUAAAAAUGAUUGGUUUAAACCAUGAGGGUGUCACAAGGGGGGUAGUGCCAAGCUGCAGGGCUUCUACUUUAGAUAUUGGUCACCACACCUAGGUGGGGCCAUCUGGAAUUUCAGAUAUUUCGAUAUCUUGCUUGUCUUAGGUGAUCACCAUCUGCGGCUUUCCGGAGAACUCUUUCUACAGAGCUUUUCUGUGGUAUUUUCCUGACUUUAGGACUGCAGUAAGUCAGGGGUUAAGUUUCAGAGCAAAAUGAGGACCCAAGUAGAAUGAGGAUGCUUAGGUCUUUCACGGGCUCUCAGGAGCUCAGCCCUGGAGGGGAUGAGCUGGGAACAGACGUAGUGUUCGAGGGGCUUGUGGGUCCGAAGCCAUGGUUCCCUUCCCUUCCUGGGGUCCCCUGCUUGCCUGUCACACAGGUGGUAGGAGGAGGAAUGGAAAUGUCACCCAGCUCAUAUCUGGAGCCUUCAGAACACCCUUCUCACCUGUGGUGAAUCACACAGGCCAGGAGGAAGGAGACUCUGGGCUUGGCCCUGCCCCACACUUGGCCUAGGGUUUCUCUCUCCUCACUCCCUCCCUGAGGUGUCCCGUCCACCCCCCUGCCUCUGGUCUCCUUCACUGAUCUCUCUUCUUCAUGAGCAGCCAGGGCACCUGCUGGGCUUCCCAAGGACUUUCAGCAGGAGGAUGCGAGGAACCAUCUGGUGCUCCUGGGAUUUGGACUUCUGCCAUCAAGGCAAAGGUGUUUGUGCAAUCAGAGGGGAACGUGACCAUGAGGGACAGUCAGGGUGUGGCUGUUCUGGAAGAUUCCCACAGCCUAAUAACAAGGACUGCUGCAAGAGUCUGUCUUCACCAGGAGAAGUCCAGCCUGACUCCGGAGUUGGUGCCAGCAGCAGUGGUGCUCGGAGUACUUCAGGUGGCAGCUGGCUCUGCAGGGUCUAUGACUUCCACUGUGAGCUGACUUUGGGGCUAUCAUCUGCCUCAUUUCCUCAUGUGCCUGUCAAGAUGGCUGCGGAGACCUGGGAUCCUGAUCUUGGACUUCCCCACGGUCCUCCCCAUUGGUCUCACCAGGUUUCUCUCCUCUCACCUGGCUUGUCAAGUACCUGAGUCUGGAGCCGGAUUCCACACCCUCCUUUCUGGACAUCCAUGCUUGUCCAUCUGGGACAUCAUGGUCAGUUCUACAAACACCCACUGGAGACAGCAUGGCCUGCCCGGAUCUCACGUGGAACAGAGGAAGCCUUUAAGACUGCAGGGACAGUGGGAGACCCCAGGAGCAGCCCAGCAGCAUCCCCAGCCCCAGUUUCUAUCCCCAAGGACUGGACCCAGUGUGGGGCUGAAUGACCCAUGCCUUCCAUCCUGAAGCAAGAGGCUCUGAGGAUCACUACAUUUUGUGAUGCUUGAUUGUUGUCCCAGCCCAGGAAGUAGAAGGCAUGUCCAGGAGCUAUGCUCACCUAUUUCUUUGUAAUCCUACCCCUUUGCCCUGUUUGGGAUAGAAAGUUCCAUGGAAAUACCCUUUGUGCGUCCCCUUCUCUUGCUCUGCCCUUGGGUGUGGCCUCCCUAGAUGUCAGUCAACCUGCUGACAGCAGACAUCAUGAAGCUAGACUCAGUCCCCCGAAACCUGACCCCUUGCCUCAUUUGAAUGGCUUUGCCUCAGUAAAAGGGUUCGGCAAGUGCCCUCUCUUUUUCCAUGGACCUCUAAGGUCAGAGGAGCUGUCACAGGACCCAAAGAACAAGG
Molecule: non-coding RNA, 1770 nt
Organism: Marmota flaviventris (yellow-bellied marmot)
Lineage: Eukaryota; Metazoa; Chordata; Mammalia; Rodentia; Sciuridae
Source: RefSeq, a predicted model, not a curated record